RNAcentral lists this ribosomal RNA (301 nucleotides) under uncultured bacterium. Its description in RNAcentral is "partial 16S ribosomal RNA". It matches the Rfam family "Bacterial small subunit ribosomal RNA", at positions 509 to 807 of the family's 1533-position model. The record is from RNAcentral.
CAGUCGCCGCUGGAAUACGUAGGUGGCAAGCGUUGUCCGGAAUUAUUGGGCGUAAAGCGCGCGCAGGCGGUCUUUUAAGUCUGAUGUGAAAGCCCACGGCUCAACCGUGGAGGGUCAUUGGAAACUGGAGGACUUGAGUGCAGAAGAGGAGAGUGGAAUUCCACGUGUAGCGGUGAAAUGCGUAGAUAUGUGGAGGAACACCAGUGGCGAAGGCGGCUCUCUGGUCUGUAACUGACGCUGAGGCGCGAAAGCGUGGGGAGCAAACAGGAUUAGAUACCCCUGUAGUCCCUGUCUCUUAUAC